GAGGGUAUGUCUCAGUGGUAGAGUGUGUGCUUAGCAUGUAUGAGGCCCUGGGUUCAAGCCCCAGUACCUCCA
RNAcentral lists this transfer RNA (72 nucleotides) under Camelus bactrianus (Bactrian camel). It matches the Rfam family "tRNA". From Rfam's summary of the family: Transfer RNA (tRNA) molecules are approximately 80 nucleotides in length. The record is from Rfam by way of RNAcentral. Lineage: Eukaryota; Metazoa; Chordata; Mammalia; Artiodactyla; Camelidae. RNAcentral also lists the same sequence under 2 other names.